This 307-nucleotide long non-coding RNA is filed under the name Capsicum annuum. RNAcentral's name for it is "long non-coding RNA (CANN_LNC009510)". The record is from RNAcentral. Lineage: Eukaryota; Viridiplantae; Streptophyta; Magnoliopsida; Solanales; Solanaceae.
GGAGCUUUAGCAUCAUCAAAAGGUUUAGUGGAGAGUUGUGGAGAUGAACUAGUGAAUUCAAAUUCCAUUUCGGAACCAAACAGAAAAAUGAAAAGACAAUCAGCUUUGUGAAGAACCACAAUAAAGAAACAAAUUGGUAAACAGCUUUGUGAAGAUUCAUUAUCUUGCAAUUUACGUGGAAGAUUAAUCAUACAUCAACUUAUAUUUACAGCUCUGAAAAGUAUCUUCAUUAAAUGGUGGAACAACACAGGUCAUGGCAUCUUUGCACCGGAAACUCAAAAUGAGAUUUUGAUCUAAUGUUGUUCAU